RNAcentral lists this ribosomal RNA (1372 nucleotides) under uncultured bacterium. RNAcentral's name for it is "bacterial SSU rRNA". It matches the Rfam family "Bacterial small subunit ribosomal RNA", at positions 28 to 1381 of the family's 1533-position model. The record is from RNAcentral.
GAUAAACGCUGGCGGCGUGCCUAAUACAUGCAAGUCGAGCGAACGGACGAGAAGCUUGCUUCUCUGAUGUUAGCGGCGGACGGGUGAGUAACACGUGGAUAACCUACCUAUAAGACUGGGAUAACUUCGGGAAACCGGAGCUAAUACCGGAUAAUAUUUUGAACCGCAUGGUUCAAAAGUGAAAGACGGUCUUGCUGUCACCUAUAGAUGGAUCCGCGCUGCAUUAGCUAGUUGGUAAGGUAACGGCUUACCAAGGCAACGAUGCAUAGCCGACCUGAGAGGGUGAUCGGCCACACUGGAACUGAGACACGGUCCAGACUCCUACGGGAGGCAGCAGUAGGGAAUCUUCCGCAAUGGGCGAAAGCCUGACGGAGCAACGCCGCGUGAGUGAUGAAGGUCUUCGGAUCGUAAAACUCUGUUAUUAGGGAAGAACAUAUGUGUAAGUAACUGUGCACAUCUUGACGGUACCUAAUCAGAAAGCCACGGCUAACUACGUGCCAGCAGCCGCGGUAAUACGUAGGUGGCAAGCGUUAUCCGGAAUUAUUGGGCGUAAAGCGCGCGUAGGCGGUUUUUUAAGUCUGAUGUGAAAGCCCACGGCUCAACCGUGGAGGGUCAUUGGAAACUGGAAAACUUGAGUGCAGAAGAGGAAAGUGGAAUUCCAUGUGUAGCGGUGAAAUGCGCAGAGAUAUGGAGGAACACCAGUGGCGAAGGCGACUUUCUGGUCUGUAACUGACGCUGAUGUGCGAAAGCGUGGGGAUCAAACAGGAUUAGAUACCCUGGUAGUCCACGCCGUAAACGAUGAGUGCUAAGUGUUAGGGGGUUUCCGCCCCUUAGUGCUGCAGCUAACGCAUUAAGCACUCCGCCUGGGGAGUACGACCGCAAGGUUGAAACUCAAAGGAAUUGACGGGGACCCGCACAAGCGGUGGAGCAUGUGGUUUAAUUCGAAGCAACGCGAAGAACCUUACCAAAUCUUGACAUCCUUUGACAACUCUAGAGAUAGAGCCUUCCCCUUCGGGGGACAAAGUGACAGGUGGUGCAUGGUUGUCGUCAGCUCGUGUCGUGAGAUGUUGGGUUAAGUCCCGCAACGAGCGCAACCCUUAAGCUUAGUUGCCAUCAUUAAGUUGGGCACUCUAAGUUGACUGCCGGUGACAAACCGGAGGAAGGUGGGGAUGACGUCAAAUCAUCAUGCCCCUUAUGAUUUGGGCUACACACGUGCUACAAUGGACAAUACAAAGGGCAGCGAAACCGCGAGGUCAAGCAAAUCCCAUAAAGUUGUUCUCAGUUCGGAUUGUAGUCUGCAACUCGACUACAUGAAGCUGGAAUCGCUAGUAAUCGUAGAUCAGCAUGCUACGGUGAAUACGUUCCCGGGUCU